GACGAACGCUGGCGGCGUGCCUAAUACAUGCAAGUAGAACGCUGAAGGAGGAUCUUGCUUCUCUGGAUGAGUUGCGAACGGGUGAGUAACGCGUAGGUAACCUGCCUGGUAGCGGGGGAUAACUAUUGGAAACGAUAGCUAAUACCGCAUAAUAGUAGAUGUUGCAUGACAUUUACUUAAAAGGUUCAAUUUCAUCACUACCAGAUGGACCUUCGUUGUAUUAGCUAGUUGGUGGGGUAACGGCUCACCAAGGCGACGAUACAUAGACGAACUGAGAGGGUGAUCGGCAAAACUGGGAGGGAGACACGGCACAGAAGACUACGGGAGGCAGCAGUAGGGAAACAUCGGAAAUGGACGAAAGUAUGACCGAGAAAGGCAGCGGGAGGGAAGAAGGAUGUCGGAUCGUAAAGAUCUGGUGAAAGAGAAGAAAGAGUGGGAGAGUGGAAAGUUCACAGUGUGACGGUAACGUACAAGAAAGAGACGGCUAACUACGUG
RNAcentral lists this ribosomal RNA (495 nucleotides) under uncultured bacterium. RNAcentral's name for it is "partial 16S ribosomal RNA". It matches the Rfam family "Bacterial small subunit ribosomal RNA", at positions 28 to 507 of the family's 1533-position model. The record is from RNAcentral.